AUGAGGGGCGUUAGCUUUGAGACCUCCCGGGAUGGAGGCAGCCGAGGAACGCGAAGGCUGCAGGCCCAUGAGGCCACGCAGGCUGGGGAGUCUCUGGGGUCGGGCCCUCGCUCUUGCACUCACGUUCUAGCUCACGCCGCAGCUGCUCCAGCCCCACCUGCAGCCUCUCCAGGUAGAGCGGCAAGUGGUGGGCCAGCACCUGCCUGGCCCGGCUCUGGCCCCACAGCGCGGCCACUGUCUGGCUGCUCUCUGCCACGGCCCCCAGUCCCGCAUGGGACAACUUCAGGAGGGGGCCCACCACGCUGUCCAGGGUGCCCGCCGGCCACACCUGGGCAGGGAAAUCGAGGCAGAAUCAGUGUGAGGGUCUGGGGCACCCAGCAUUCCAGAAGAUCCUCACGCCUGGUGAGUAGAGGGCACGGGAUAGGCCGGGACGGGGGUGGGGGGGCACAUCUCCACACAGCCCUCCCCUUCUCCAAGUGUGUCCCCGACCCCCGACUGAAGUCUACCCACCAGGCGCCGGAACCUUUCCACGUAGGCAUCCAAGCCUCGGACCUUCUUCUCCAGCCGGGCUCUCACCUGGGCCCCAAUGGCCACGAUCCUGGACUGUGGGCACAGACAGGCUGGGGGCUCCGGGGGGGGAGGCGUCAUGGGACUGGGGUGGACAGGAGCUUCUCGGUGCCGGCCAUAGAGCCGCGGGAUGUGUUUGCAUGCGACAGGGCUGCCUCUGGUUUGCUGGGCUCUCUUGGACCCAAAGGGCUCGCAGCCCCUGGCACUGUGGCCUCUGCCCCAGGGAAAAUAGUGUCCCCCACCCCCGGGGCCAGCUCACCUCCACAUGGCCCAGCAGGGUUCCUGGGCAGCCAUGCGCCGCCAGGCGGAGACUCUGGUUGGCAGCCUGCAGGGUCAGGCGUCCCAGGGGCUGCACGGACUGCCCGGUGUCCUGGAGCAGGGCCUCCGCCUCGGCCGUCUGCCCCUGGGCACAUGCCCGCAGCUCCACGCUCUCCUCUCUGCUCCCUGGGGUCAGGAAGGGUCCUGCUGUUGCCCCCGGGACUCUCCUGGCUGCCACCUGGCUGCUCACGCCACCUCCUUUCCACGAAGAGCUUCCCAUCACCCCCAGGCCCUAGCGUUCGCAGGCCUAGAAGUGCACUGCCCAAAUCAGCUUCCCGGCCCCCUAAGGCUUGGGCUCCUUCUCGUCCCCCAGCCCCUACCCACCUCUGGUCUGCCUGUCUGGACCUUCUCCCAGCCUCUCCUGACAUCACAGUCCCUCCAGGUGGCCGCAGGGGGCUCACUGUUGCCUCCGAGCUGGGGGCACCACAAAGUCCUAAUGGGGUUCCUUGA
This 1335-nucleotide long non-coding RNA is filed under the name Ailuropoda melanoleuca (giant panda). RNAcentral describes it as "lncRNA (ENSAMEG00000028711.1)". The record is from RNAcentral. Lineage: Eukaryota; Metazoa; Chordata; Mammalia; Carnivora; Ursidae.